CCUACGGGAGGCAGCAGUGAGGAAUAUUGGUCAAUGGGCUUACGCCUGAACCAGCCAAGUCGCGUGAGGGAAGACUGCCCUAUGGGUUGUAAACCUCUUUUGUCAGGGAGCAACGCCGGCUACGUGUAGCCGGACUGAGAGUACCUGAAGAAAAAGCAUCGGCUAACUCCGUGCCAGCAGCCGCGGUAAUACGGAGGAUGCGAGCGUUAUCCGGAUUUAUUGGGUUUAAAGGGUGCGUAGGCGGCAGGCCAAGUCAGCGGUAAAAUCGCGGGGCUCAACCUCGCUCCGCCGUUGAAACUGGCGUGCUUGAGUGGGCGAGAAGUAUGCGGAAUGCGUGGUGUAGCGGUGAAAUGCAUAGAUAUCACGCAGAACUCCGAUUGCGAAGGCAGCAUACCGGCGCCCAACUGACGCUGAAGCACGAAAGCGUGGGUAUCGAACAGGAUUAGAUACCCUAGUAGUC
This 460-nucleotide ribosomal RNA is filed under the name uncultured bacterium. RNAcentral describes it as "partial 16S ribosomal RNA". It matches the Rfam family "Bacterial small subunit ribosomal RNA", at positions 338 to 795 of the family's 1533-position model. The record is from RNAcentral.